UUCCUAACCCCCGAGGGACUGUAUUUGGAGACACUGCCACCUUAAGCAAGUCUCUCUUCUCUCUGUAGUUCCAGGCAGCACAGCUUUCUCUGCCCAAGAGUAUCACAGCCCUCCAGGAACCCCAGAGGGGAAGCAGGGACUGUCUGACGAAGAAGCUCCAUGCAGUGAGGCGCAAAGCUCUGCUGCUGAACCUGGACCACGUGUCCAUGCAUGUGGCAGCUCAUGCAUUAGCAGCGCCAGAGCAGGCUGAGCCAGCCAGCAGAGUACAGUGCAUGCAGACCAGCACCACAGAGAGGAAAAAAGAUUCAACCUUCUGCCUCAGGUCCUGCCAUUACAGGAAAUUUAAAUUGCGUUUGGUAGAAAAGAUAAUAUUUCUGGGCAAGCAGAGACAGUGAUGGCUACAACAGGACGGCAGGAAUGGGAAGACGCAACAGCGUGGGAAAUGAGUCAGCAAGUGCUGUUAAACGGUGGCGCAGAGGUGCCUUCAUCUCCUUCACAACCCCCGCCUCACUGGAGGGCACAGGGCACGGGUGCUGGCCAUCUGCCUGAGGCUGCAAGCUGGCGAGGGUGUUGCUGCCGGCAGUUGGCCCAGGCACACACCCAUUCCCUGGGGUUAAGACAACCUGCUUCUCCCUUCAGCCUUUCCAGCUGAAGUUAGCAUUUCAUUCAUUCAGUCAGUCAGCUACUCCUGCAU
RNAcentral lists this long non-coding RNA (694 nucleotides) under Chinchilla lanigera (long-tailed chinchilla). RNAcentral describes it as "lncRNA (ENSCLAG00000025165.1)". Lineage: Eukaryota; Metazoa; Chordata; Mammalia; Rodentia; Chinchillidae. The record is from RNAcentral.